UCGAGCGAGUCUGCCUUGAAGAUCGGAGUGCUUGCACUCUGUGAAACAAGAUACAGGCUAGCGGCGGACGGGUGAGUAACACGUGGGUAACCUGCCCAAGAGAUCGGGAUAACACCUGGAAACAGAUGCUAAUACCGGAUAACAACAGAUGAUGCCUAUCAACUGUUUAAAAGAUGGUUCUGCUAUCACUCUUGGAUGGACCUGCGGUGCAUUAGCUAGUUGGUAGGGUAACGGCCUACCAAGGCGAUGAUGCAUAGCCGAGUUGAGAGACUGAUCGGCCACAUUGGGACUGAGACACGGCCCAAACUCCUACGGGAGGCAGCAGUAGGGAAUCUUCCACAAUGGACGCAAGUCUGAUGGAGCAACGCCGCGUGAGUGAAGAAGGGUUUCGGCUCGUAAAGCUCUGUUGUUGGUGAAGAAGGACAGGGGUAGUAACUGACCUUUGUUUGACGGUAAUCAAUUAGAAAGUCACGGCUAACUACGUGCCAGCAGCCGCGGUAAUACGUAGGUGGCAAGCGUUGUCCGGAUUUAUUGGGCGUAAGGCGAGUGCAGGCGGUUCGAUAAGUCUGAUGUGAAAGCCUUCGGCUCAACCGGAGAAUUGCAUCAGAAACUGUCGAGCUUGAGUACAGAAGAGGAGAGUGGAACUCCAUGUGUAGCGGUGAAAUGCGUAGAUAUAUGGAAGAACACCGGUGGCGAAGGCGGCUCUCUGGUCUGUUACUGACGCUGAGGCUCGAAAGCAUGGGUAGCGAACAGGAUUAGAUACCCUGGUAGUCCAUGCCGUANACGAUGAGUGCUAAGCGUUGGGAGGUUUCCGCCUCUCAGUGCUGCAGCUAACGCA
Molecule: ribosomal RNA, 838 nt
Filed under: uncultured bacterium
Lineage: Bacteria
Description: bacterial SSU rRNA
Rfam family: Bacterial small subunit ribosomal RNA
Source: RNAcentral